This 574-nucleotide ribosomal RNA is filed under the name uncultured Lachnospiraceae bacterium. RNAcentral describes it as "bacterial SSU rRNA". It matches the Rfam family "Bacterial small subunit ribosomal RNA", at positions 38 to 604 of the family's 1533-position model. Lineage: Bacteria; Bacillati; Bacillota; Clostridia; Lachnospirales; Lachnospiraceae. The record is from RNAcentral.
GGCGGCGUGCUUAACACAUGCAAGUCGAACGAAGCACCUUGAUUUGAUUCUUCGGAUGAAUAUCUUGGUGACUGAGUGGCGGACGGGUGAGUAACGCGUGGGUAACCUGCCUCAUACAGGGGGAUAACAGUUAUAAAUGACUGCUAAUACCGCAUAAGCACCACAGCACCGCAUGGUGCAAGGGUAAUAAACUCCGGUGGCUAUUAGAUGGACCCGCGAUCUGAUUAAGUACUCUGGUGGGGUAACGGCCUACCAAGCCGACGAUCAGUAUCCGACCUGAGAGGGUGACCGGCCACAUUGGGACUGAUACACGGCCCAAACUCCUAUCGGGUAGGCAGCAGUGGGGAAUAUUGCACAAUGGGGGAAACCCUGAUGCAGCGACGCCGCGUUGAGCGAUGAAGUAUUUCGGUAUGUAAAGCUCUAUCAGCAUGGAAGAAAAUGACGGUACCUGACUAAGAAGCACCGGCUAAAUACGUGCCACCAGCCGCGGUAAUACGUAUGGUGCAAGCGUGAUCCGGAUCUACUGGGUGUACAGGGAGCGUAGACGGAGUGGCAAGUCUGAUGUGAAACCCCG